This 76-nucleotide small RNA is filed under the name Xanthomonas fragariae. Its description in RNAcentral is "sX9 sRNA". It matches the Rfam family "Xanthomonas sRNA sX9". The record is from RNAcentral. Lineage: Bacteria; Pseudomonadati; Pseudomonadota; Gammaproteobacteria; Lysobacterales; Lysobacteraceae.
AUGUACCACGCGUACACUCCGGUUCCUCCACGCCGUCCGCGCCCGCCCGCCUGGCGGCGCAGUAGUUUUGUUAGCC